Molecule: long non-coding RNA, 506 nt
Organism: Ornithorhynchus anatinus (platypus)
Lineage: Eukaryota; Metazoa; Chordata; Mammalia; Monotremata; Ornithorhynchidae
Exons: 2
Source: RefSeq, a predicted model, not a curated record
GAUUUGUGGUCAGAGGUGAGUUGGUAGGAGACAUGCAUUCUUUGGGUCCCAAGAAGUCUUUUGGAAAGAGGAAAUUAUCCUUCUUCUUCAAGCUUGGAGGCAGGAAAAAACCGCCUCAAGAUGGUGUGGACCGCCUCAAGAUGGCGAUGGUGAGGCCAGCCUCAAGCCCGAGUCAUGGGACCUGCACCAUGUGAACUGUAAAAUGCCUGCGCCAUUGCCUGUGCCAUGUGAAAUGUAAAAUGCCCAUACCAUGUGAAACUCCUCUGCCAUGCGCCACUUCAAUCCUCAGGCUUCACUCUUAGGCGGACCUGUCAGGUGUCAUGCAAUCAUGUAAGUGAUUACUGAUUGGCUACUGUUACUACGUGCGCCUAGCUCUGAUUGGGUGCCCUGCGCCAGUGUGGGGUUCCGCCGUACCAAUAAAGCUGGCAGGGCAGCCCAGGAUUGGGGCGCUGCAGUCACUUGCACCCCAUCGGGGUGAACGGGCUGCUUGCCGCUUUCCCACUGUC